GCAAGUCGAACGAGAAAGGCCCUUCGGGGACGAGUAAAGUGGCGGACGGGUGAGGAACGCGUGGAUAAACUGCCCUUCAGCGGGGGAUAACUAUUCGAAAGGAUAGCUAAUACCGCAUAUGACUACGACUCCUGCGGGUAACGUAGUAAAAGGCUUCGGCCACUGAAGGAUGUGUCCGCGUCCGAUUAGCUUGUUGGUGGGGUAAAGGCCUACCAAGGCUGCGAUCGGUAGCUGGUCUCAGAGGAUGAUC
Molecule: ribosomal RNA, 250 nt
Filed under: uncultured bacterium
Lineage: Bacteria
Description: partial 16S ribosomal RNA
Rfam family: Bacterial small subunit ribosomal RNA
Source: RNAcentral